AACAUUAAUUUAAUAAAUAAAUUUACCAAUUAAUUAUACGAGACAUAAAUUUUUCUUUUUUUGAGAGAUAGAUAACAUACUGUCUGCUUUGUUUAUUUUAUUUAGAAUUUAAAAAUAAAUUUAACUGAAAAUGUGAAUCAAUUAGAAUUUGAAUUUAAGACCUCAGAUACCAACCAUCAAAUUAUUUGUCACUUGCGUUAGAAACGGUCGGUGGUGGCG
This 219-nucleotide long non-coding RNA is filed under the name Ananas comosus (pineapple). RNAcentral describes it as "long non-coding RNA (ACOM_LNC001379)". The record is from RNAcentral. Lineage: Eukaryota; Viridiplantae; Streptophyta; Magnoliopsida; Poales; Bromeliaceae.